Small nuclear RNA from Rattus norvegicus (Norway rat), 155 nucleotides. Ensembl annotates it as U1 spliceosomal RNA. Lineage: Eukaryota; Metazoa; Chordata; Mammalia; Rodentia; Muridae. The record is from Ensembl.
CAGCUCACUGUGCAUCUGUAUCACUGUGAUAACGAAGGUAGUUCUCCCGGGGUGAAGCUCAUCCCUUGCCCUCCGGAUGUGCUGACUACUGGGGCUUCCCCAGUGAGAGAAACUUGACUGUACAGUUUGUGGUAGUGGGGGUGUUCACACCCUCU